Molecule: small nuclear RNA, 97 nt
Filed under: Echinops telfairi (small Madagascar hedgehog)
Lineage: Eukaryota; Metazoa; Chordata; Mammalia; Afrosoricida; Tenrecidae
Source: RNAcentral
GUGCUCCCUCUGGCAGCACACACACUACAGUGGCAUGAAACUAGCAUGGUCCCUGGGCAAGGAUGACCCAUAAAUCUGUGAAACAAUUCUGAUAUAU